GGGGGCGCACUGGUUUCGACGGGGAUGUGGAAGCCGGAGUUGCAGGUCGAGGCGCCGCUGGCCUCGUAAAAAGCGGCAACAAAGUAAUUGCCAACAACGAUUACGAAUACGCCUGCGCUGCCUAGUCAGCAGGGCUCCUGACCGCAUAGGCGGUCACGUCAGACGGAUUGAUGCCUGAUAGGUUCGGCUGGCGACACAUCAUCAGGCUGGCGAUGCCCGGUGCCUGCCGGGGGUUAUUGCGAGGAUUGCACCGGCGGGCUGGUGCUGCCGCGCCCGGUCAGGGGCUACCGGCGGCACGAGAACCAUCUCUGACCUACACCUGUAGACGCUUCGCGUGGAAUGUUCUCGGACGGGGGUUCGACUCCCCCCGCCUCCACCA
This 379-nucleotide transfer-messenger RNA is filed under the name Desulfovibrionaceae. RNAcentral's name for it is "Desulfovibrio gallistercoris Standard tmRNA". It matches the Rfam family "transfer-messenger RNA". Rfam says of the family: Bacterial tmRNA, also known as 10Sa RNA or SsrA, is named for its dual tRNA and mRNA-like properties. Its role is to liberate the mRNA from a stalled ribosome. To accomplish this part of the tmRNA is used as a reading frame that ends in a translation stop signal. RNAcentral also lists the same sequence under 2 other names. The record is from RNAcentral. Lineage: Bacteria; Pseudomonadati; Thermodesulfobacteriota; Desulfovibrionia; Desulfovibrionales.